ACGAGCCGGAUGAUGCGAGAGUAUCAAGUCCGGAUCUGUGAGAGGCUCAGGGUGAAAUUCCCUGGGCCUACUCGGC
Molecule: non-coding RNA, 76 nt
Filed under: Bradyrhizobium erythrophlei
Lineage: Bacteria; Pseudomonadati; Pseudomonadota; Alphaproteobacteria; Hyphomicrobiales; Nitrobacteraceae
Source: RNAcentral